CGGGGUGGAGCAGUCUGGUAGCUCGACGGGCUCAUAACCCGUAGGUCGUAGGUUCAAAUCCUGCCCCCGCUACCA
RNAcentral lists this transfer RNA (75 nucleotides) under Gammaproteobacteria bacterium. RNAcentral describes it as "tRNA-Met". It matches the Rfam family "tRNA". From Rfam's summary of the family: Transfer RNA (tRNA) molecules are approximately 80 nucleotides in length. Their secondary structure includes four short double-helical elements and three loops (D, anti-codon, and T loops). Lineage: Bacteria; Pseudomonadati; Pseudomonadota; Gammaproteobacteria. The record is from RNAcentral.